UUGCUGGUUAGCCAAGUUAUUUCUCCAAAAGUUUAAUUCAGUGUUAUUUGUAUACUCCAGCUGUUCAUAUUCUGAGCAUACAGUCAGAUCCUUAUCAGAACACUUCGCAUGUAGCUUCGUGUCAUGGUUUUUGCCCUAGACAGACUCAUCCAUUUCGACUGAUUUGGUAUCUUCGUACUCUGAUGUUCAAUUCUUGCAGUUUUGCUGUUUCGUUAACGUCGAAUUCUCUCUUUGGUUCACAAUGAAUUUUUAAUGCUAUUGAUGUCUACUCAAUAAAGUUUUAUCGUUUUUAAAUCAGUAUGGAUUAAGUACUUUCUUGUAUCCGUCUCCUUUGGGACCUUGCAAUGAUGGCCCUUACCUUUUAAGCAACAAUGCCAGGUUACAAACAGGUAAAUAGGUGUUUCCUUUUUCUUGCAAAUAUUCCAUCUCUCUCUAAAACUCAACAAAUAAAUGCUAACUUAAUCGCUAUUUUGGUCUUAUCAAUGAUCUUAGUUCUACUUCUUGUUAAUUGUCAUGACAUGAAUUGGGAUUAUAAUUGGUGCCUAGCUAAUUGAUACAUGAGCUGAAGAGCUGCUAUGUAUUACUUAACAUGCCAAUGGUACAUUUUUGAUAAUUUAUAUGUAUAACAUGUGUGCAUACAUAAACAGACCCAUAAUAUUAUAAGAAAACCUGAAAUUCUGGAUUCCCAAAAUGCUUAUGGAUCAAAAUUCUUUUCUCAUAAGUUAGUUACCUUUAAAUACCCAAAGCUCAAUAUUUACUGACUCGAAAUGUAAAACGAGUUUUCUAAUGACUAGUGUUGAGAACUUGUGUCAUGUCAAGAUGAAACCUGUCUUUUAGCAACUGGCGGGGUUGGUAUGGAGGUAACUUCUGCAAAUCUACAAACAACGAUAUGGACAUUAUGGUGUUGAUUUAAAUAGGUCAUAAAUUAAUUAAGUGGCUUCUGUUUGCAUCAACUACAUUUGUCAUAGAGUUUAAUUGAUUUCUCUCACUUCUCUGUUUGAUCCAACAUGGUUUGACUUAAUUUUGACAUGUAGAAAGGAAACUGAUCGUAUUUGGAACUUUUAUGUUUAUAUAAAGUCUCCAUAUCAAGAUUUUUAGAAUAAAGAAUGAAAGUUUCUUACUUACUGUACCUGUGAAUUUUUCUUUCUUCUUACCAUCUCUAUGCUGACAGGUUUGAUAAUGAGAAGUCCCUUUUUGGUGACUCCAUAAUGUCAUGAAACUGAAUACGCUACAAAAGAACUCGGUAUAAGUGUAUCUGAAUCUUUUGAGUUACAGUUCAUCUCAUUUCCUAUUCAAUUAGCAAGUUCACAUGGUGACAGUGAUGGCUUUACUGGUAUUUUUAAGUUAGGAACAUUUUGUACCUCAGAUUUUUUUUAUCUUCUAUGCAUAUCUAGAUUGGCACCCUAAUACCCAGGUUUAGGAUUCAUGUUCACUAAAGACUGCAAUUAUAGAAAACUACUUGAUUCCAUUAAAAAAAUAAUUGGAACAAACAUGAGUCUAGUUGCAAGAAUAUGUCUAUUGGUACUAAUUUCAGUUUGUACAAGUGAUUUCUGUUACCACUGUUUAUCACUUCACAAUUCUCACACGUGACAAGUCCAUGAAAGCUGCAGAUGAUUGCUGCAUCAAAGGAAAUCCUUGUGAUGUCUACUAUAACUCAGGCAACUGUAGUUAUUGACAAGGGUGAAAAUUAAAAUGUCUCUCUUUGUGAGUCAAUUUUCCAAUAGUGAAGGUUAUCUUGAUGAACUAUUAUCAAAUAAUCAUAUCGAGAAAAAGAAUGCUAAUAUUCUUGGUCUCUUAAGCAUAGGAUAUACAUUAAUCCAUCUUUAAAUGUUCGUCUUCAGAUCUCAGUUACACUGUUUAUCACUUCAUAAAUUCCCAUAUUUGACAGUCAUAAGUUCAUGGAAGCUGCAGAGGCUUGCUGUAUCGGAAAUCCUUGCCCAUUUCUGAUAUAACACAGGCAAAUGAGGUAGUUGUUGGCAGAGAUUGAACUGAGAGACCGCAAUCCUCUCCAGCAUGAAAGUGGUUUUCAUCUUAAACUGAACUGACUGGUAAAGACGAGCUUGCAAUUUGGGUAAAUUCAUCUAUUAUUGCUAGCUGGAGUAGGUACUCUUUUAAUUUGCAGUCAUUCAAAAAAAAAAAAAAUUUCCUAGCAACUAAAUGCAUUUACACAUUUAUUUCAUUUAAUAUCUAGUUCUGUGUUCUUCCAUAGAUUUCAAAUAUUAAGUAUUAUGCUUUUAGACUCGUAAACCAUGCUAGUUAACCAAGAAAUGAGCUGAUUAGAUGACUUACAUGUAACUAAAUUAUCUUUAAAAAAUGCAUCUUCUUAUCUCUAUAGUAAAACUUGUCUUCUCUGUCAAUUGCUUUGAUGAAUUGAAUGGUAGCUAUUCACUCACUGGUAUAUUUAAUAACAAGACUAAAACCUGAAAUCUAAGGGUUCAGAUAUGGCUUCAGGUGAGACAAAUCAAGAGUUCUGGAGUAUUUGGAAGCCCCAAAACAAAAAAAAUCACAGUCAAAGUACAUAUCGAUCUUAACGAAUUUCUUGAACAGGCAGAUCAAAAGCCAUUGAUGACUUCUGAUUAACCAGAGGUUGAAAGUGAAGCAGAGGGUGACCAUAGACUUCGUUUUUGGAGACUUUUAAAGUAGCUUUGGAAGUCAUGCUUGCAUAAUGCUGACAUACACAGAUACAUAUAAUCAUAAAUAAAAGUCAUAUAUGCAACUAAAGUUGGGCACCUAUAAAAACUAUCACUGGAUGAACUAUGUUGAUAUUGCCAUUCCUGGAGUUGAAAAUGCUACUCCAUCAUAUUACAAUUCUUUAGGAAAAAUAUCUUCUUGUUCUUGUGUGCUUUUAAAUUUAUCUUUCAGUUUUUAAUUGUAGCUUGGAUUUUGUUUAGUCUGUAUGACAUCAAAACUGCAGGUGGUUCUAAAAUUAUCAAUCUCUGUUUCUCUUUUAAGGAUAUAACUGCUUAGCUCUUUCCUUGAAUGAUACAUGAACCUAAUCCAAGUACAUCAAAUAUCUUGCCUUGCUAGUCGAUUAAAAAAGGGUGUAGGGUUUGUGAUACCCAAGAAUGGCAAUAUGGCCUAUCGGUCUAGAGCAAUCAUGUCCACUUAGGUCUGGAUAACCACCAAACCUUUUGAAAACCACUAAACUUGCUUCAUGGAUUUGGUGAAACUUUCUCAAGGAUAUCAAUCAUUAAGCAGUUCCUUUUUCUUUGCAUGUUAACAUAAAAGAUAGUCUUUGUACAGGGACCUAACCUAACUAAGUGACACAAAACUUCAUAUAUUAGGUUAUCACUUAGCAUUUUAGCUUCUGGGUUUCCUUUCCUAUAAUUUAUUUGAAUUGCAUGGUUUGCUUUGGUGACUGUUUGAUAUUGCAUCAAGUUUUUUUUUUUUUUUUUUUUCUGUUCUUGGUUCUGUAAAGGCUUGUUUAUUGCUUGCACUAACUCGUGGGAUGUCACCAUCAUAUAGUGUGGCUGUCAGUUCAGCAUGUGAAGGCUGAUCGGGAUGCAGAGUCUAUGGAGUUGGCAGAAGACACUUACCCUGGUGAUAUUGUCCUAACUUCUCAAGUCACAUUUGAUAGGUUGUGGUCAUUAAUAGUGUCGUAUUGGUUACAAUAUAAUGUCAUCGCAGUAUAUCCUUGUAGCAGUCAUUAAACUCUUACCAGGCUCUGUUUCUCUCUCUAGGGAAAUAAGAGGAAAAAGUAGGUGAAUGAUUAGUAUGUUCGCAAAAGCUGCCACAUACCUUAGUAGUAAGAUUUAGAUAAUUGAUGAGGAUAUGAAUCUUUAUUUUUUGGUUGAAGUGUCAUCACAUGUAUUAGCAUUUCUCUUCUCCUUUAAGAUGGCAUCUAAAUUUGUCCAAAAUCAUUCCACAUUUCUACAUGAAAAUUUCAGGUCCCAGUAAGUGGCCAAUAUCUAAUCAGAUAAUGUCAAGAUUAGCUGUAUUGGCAUCAAAUACACGAGGAUCUGUUCAGUUACUGACUUAGCCGAGAUCACUUGAGAAUAUAGUGCAAUCCAAGUCAGCACGCAGAUCGUAAUGGUGCCCAUCAAGAUCGUAUGAAUACAUCGGAACACCUACAACCUUACCGGAGGAACUUCCUGCUUGAGGAAGCCGUCGGUGCAGUUUUGGUGGCGUUUGACCGAGAAGAGGAGGCGAUCAAAGGCUCGGUCUUUCCCCAAUUAAGAGAACGCGUCCCCUCUUGACGCCAUCCAUGCACCGAAUCAACCAACCCACGGAAGAGCUACGGUGGUAGGUCAUUCGCAGUAGCCACACGCGACCCGUCUUCGUUUGGUCGGGCUCAACCCUCGCACGAGGGGAGGACGGAGCUCGCCACGAAGCGGUCUGAUGCAUUCACGGGUGCAACCCACCGGUCCGAGCUGCUUGGGGUCGACACGCGCAAGAGGAGGACGUCAGCGGCGAACCAAAGUCGCCGGGGGUGGGGGGAGCAACACCGUGAGAACCCCGUCCCGCCCUCCAACUGUUCGUCAUAAUGACGGGUGGGAGUCACUUUAUCCAACCCAUUUUCGCCUUAUGUGAAGGACUUUUCUACGGAACAGAAAGAAAGCAGUGCAGAAUUCCUUUUCGUCGAAAGGAUAGAGCGUGACUUCGUCGUAUGACACGCUCACACUGCAUUCCCCUCGCGCGGAUUUUUGCAUGUCCUUCUGCUUCACUUUUACUCCAGACAACUCCAACCAGAAGAGUUGUCAUCUCCCUGGCAAGCGAAAGCGAGCCUGACGAAUCUGCAGCCACAGAGAUGGUGUGGAGGAGGACAAGGUUAGGAUGAACUCUCGUUUGUGCACUUCUUUUGAAGGCUUUUUGACUAGUAGAGGACGUUUUCUUGUUCGCUUCGAUCUACUGUUCCUAACCAAAUAAAUACUCGCCACAGACAUCUCCCACUAAUGGAGGAAUACCUACCUAUAAAUAGAACGUUUCUCGCUAGGAAAAUAUCGUUGAUAUUUAUCAACAUGAUAUGGUUCUAAUUCAUACGUGAGAAGUUGUCCGAGACAGAGUAUGAUUUUUUCACACUCGCUUAC
Molecule: long non-coding RNA, 5027 nt
Organism: Musa acuminata AAA Group (dessert banana)
Lineage: Eukaryota; Viridiplantae; Streptophyta; Magnoliopsida; Zingiberales; Musaceae
Exons: 5
Source: RefSeq, a predicted model, not a curated record